GCACUCAGCCCACUCGCACCCGGGUGAAUAAACAGCCUUUGUUGCUCACACUUAGCCUGUUCAAGUUGUCUCUUCAAUUAGAUGCUCGCAUAACAUUUGGUGCCGAAAGCCCGGGAUAGGGGAACUCCUCCGGCAGACCUCUCCUCUAUCCUCCCGGUACCCACGUUCUCCCAUGCAAGAGACUUCCCUCGCCCUCAGGACCUCAGACCAGCUCCGCGAGCACUCCGGCCUCUGUCUAUGGAUAUGGUUCCCACGCCGUCCCUAAGCCUGCUCGAAGAAGCCCUGAAAAACAUCGCCCAUCAUCUCUCCAUACCAUCCCCAAAAUUUUCACCACCCCAACAUUUCACUACUUUUUCUUGUUUUGUUUUGUUAGCAUAAAAAGACAGGAAUGUAAGGUCCUCUGAGCAGGCGGCGCCAUGGUCAAGCCAUCGUGACCCCUGUGACUCACACGUACACAUCCAGAAGGUCUCCUGGAGCCAGAAAGUCUGGGACGACAGGAAAACCACAAAAGAAGAAAAA
Molecule: long non-coding RNA, 519 nt
Organism: Homo sapiens (human)
Lineage: Eukaryota; Metazoa; Chordata; Mammalia; Primates; Hominidae
Source: Ensembl